GCCGAAGUAGCUCAGCUGGUAGAGCAACGCAUUCGUAACGCGUAGGUCGUGGGUUCGAUUCCCACCUUCGGCUCCA
RNAcentral lists this transfer RNA (76 nucleotides) under Candidatus Veblenbacteria bacterium. RNAcentral's name for it is "tRNA-Thr". It matches the Rfam family "tRNA". Rfam says of the family: Transfer RNA (tRNA) molecules are approximately 80 nucleotides in length. Their secondary structure includes four short double-helical elements and three loops (D, anti-codon, and T loops). Lineage: Bacteria; Candidatus Vebleniibacteriota. The record is from RNAcentral.